AACAGUGGUUAACAGUCGGGAAAUUAAGGUGAUAAAAAUGUUUUGAAAAUUCUCUUGCCAAGCUUUGCUCUGUGUGUUUUCCCCACUCCCCUCCUCUUUUCCCUAUCUCAUGAUACCUUUCAUUAUAUCAAUUAUUUGUGCAUCUCACUUAUUUAUUUCAGUGUCACAGGGAACAGUGCUGAUCUUGGCGAUGACUAGCCUGUGCAUUGUCCUGGCUGUCGUGUUAGUACUCUGUCUCAUCUGGACAUGCCGUAUGUGAUAUUCAUGACAUUUAAUUCAUAGAAUAGAUCUAGGAAAACACAUUCAUGCUAAAGGCAACACAUUUGCAACUUUUUGAGGUCUGUUUUAUAAGCAAUCAUCUUGAAGUAAAGACUCCUGUCAUUCCCACUAGUUGCCCAGGCUAUACACUGUGUAGUUCGGUGGUCUGGGACAGACAGAACGACACAGACACAGAUCGACAUUGCCCUCUAUAUCUCCAAAAGUCACCCGCUGGCACAUUAGCAAGCUUUUAUUUGUGUCAGAUGUGCUGUUGUUAGUGUUAUUGUUUGCAUGUCUCAGGAGUUAGCUUGCUAGUUUUAGACCAAAACAUCUUACUUCUGUAUUAAAAGAAAGAUACAGCCUUAUUUACUCUCUGAUAGGCACAUCUUAUUUUCUCUUUCAGGGAAACAUAAACAACAGAGUUCAAAGGGUACUCUAGGCAGGACCAGACAGAAGAAUCACCCGGACAUUAUGCCUGCACAUAGUACAAUUACAACUGUUAAUGACACUGUUGAAACCUACACCAUGAUCACCUCAACACCCCUGACUGUAGCUCCAGAUGUUGACAAAAGGGAAGACAUUUUCUCUGAACAGGAUGAUGUGAGUGCACUAUGUGCAAAGUACUGUGCUUUGGAUGUAUAGCAAAAAUCAAUAGCUUUUCAUUCAGAUUAAUUUACGGGGCCA
Long non-coding RNA from Clupea harengus (Atlantic herring), 942 nucleotides. Lineage: Eukaryota; Metazoa; Chordata; Actinopteri; Clupeiformes; Clupeidae. The record is from Ensembl.